UACAGAGGGGGCGAGCGUUGUUCGGAAUUACUGGGCGUAAAGGGCGCGUAGGCGGCCAACUAAGUCAGACGUGAAAUCCCCAGGCUCAACUUGGGAACUGCGUCUGAUACUGGAUGGCUUGAAUUCGGGAGAGGGAUGCAGAAUUCCAGGUGUAGCGGUGAAAUGCGUAGAUAUCUGGAGGAAUACCGGUGGCGAAGGCGGCAUCCUGGACCGAGAUUGACACUGAUGAGCGAAAGCUAGGGGAGCAAACGGG
Molecule: ribosomal RNA, 253 nt
Filed under: uncultured bacterium
Lineage: Bacteria
Description: partial 16S ribosomal RNA
Rfam family: Bacterial small subunit ribosomal RNA
Source: RNAcentral